This 981-nucleotide ribosomal RNA is filed under the name human gut metagenome. RNAcentral's name for it is "bacterial LSU rRNA". It matches the Rfam family "Bacterial large subunit ribosomal RNA", at positions 1950 to 2925 of the family's 2925-position model. The record is from RNAcentral.
CCUAAGGUAGCGAAAUUCCUUGUCGGGUAAGUUCCGACCUGCACGAAUGGCGUAAUGAUGGCCAGGCUGUCUCCACCCGAGACUCAGUGAAAUUGAACUCGCUGUGAAGAUGCAGUGUACCCGCGGCAAGACGGAAAGACCCCGUGAACCUUUACUAUAGCUUGACACUGAACAUUGAGCCUUGAUGUGUAGGAUAGGUGGGAGGCUUGGAAGUGUGGACGCCAGUCUGCAUGGAGCCGACCUUGAAAUACCACCCUUUAAUGUUUGAUGUUCUAACGUUGACCCGUAAUCCGGGUUGCGGACAGUGUCUGGUGGGUAGUUUGACUGGGGCGGUCUCCUCCUAAAGAGUAACGGAGGAGCACGAAGGUUGGCUAAUCCUGGUCGGACAUCAGGAGGUUAGUGCAAUGGCAUAAGCCAGCUUGACUGCGAGCGUGACGGCGCGAGCAGGUGCGAAAGCAGGUCAUAGUGAUCCGGUGGUUCUGAAUGGAAGGGCCAUCGCUCAACGGAUAAAAGGUACUCCGGGGAUAACAGGCUGAUACCGCCCAAGAGUUCAUAUCGACGGCGGUGUUUGGCACCUCGAUGUCGGCUCAUCACAUCCUGGGGCUGAAGUAGGUCCCAAGGGUAUGGCUGUUCGCCAUUUAAAGUGGUACGCGAGCUGGGUUUAGAACGUCGUGAGACAGUUCGGUCCCUAUCUGCCGUGGGCGCUGGAGAACUGAGGGGGGCUGCUCCUAGUACGAGAGGACCGGAGUGGACGCAUCACUGGUGUUCGGGUUGUCAUGCCAAUGGCACUGCCCGGUAGCUAAAUGCGGAAGAGAUAAGUGCUGAAAGCAUCUAAGCACGAAACUUGCCCCGAGAUGAGUUCUCCCUGACUCCUUGAGAGUCCUGAAGGAACGUUGAAGACGACGACGUUGAUAGGCCGGGUGUGUAAGCGCAGCGAUGCGUUGAGCUAACCGGUACUAAUGAACCGUGAGGCUUAACCUU